This 301-nucleotide ribosomal RNA is filed under the name uncultured bacterium. RNAcentral's name for it is "partial 16S ribosomal RNA". It matches the Rfam family "Bacterial small subunit ribosomal RNA", at positions 509 to 809 of the family's 1533-position model. The record is from RNAcentral.
CAGUAGCCGCGGGAAUACGAAGGGGGCUAGCGUUGUUCGGAUUUACUGGGCGUAAAGGGCGCGUAGGCGGACUGAUAAGUCAGGAGUGAAAUCCCAAGGCUCAACCUUGGAACUGCCUUUGAUACUGUUUGUCUUGAGUUCGAGAGAGGUAAGUGGAACUGCGAGUGUAGAGGUGAAAUUCGUAGAUAUUCGCAAGAACACCAGUGGCGAAGGCGGCUUACUGGCUCGAAACUGACGCUGAGGCGCGAAAGCGUGGGGAGCAAACAGGAUUAGAUACCCGAGUAGUCCCUGUCUCUUAUAA